UACGUAGGGUGCAAGCGUUAAUCGGAAUUACUGGGCGUAAAGCGUGCGCAGGCGGUCCGUUAAGACAGAUGUGAAAUCCCCGGGCUUAACCUGGGAACUGCAUUUGUGACUGGCGGACUCGAGUAUGGCAGAGGGGGGUAGAAUUCCACGUGUAGCAGUGAAAUGCGUAGAGAUGUGGAGGAACACCGAUGGCGAAGGCAGCCCCCUGGGCUAACACUGACGCUCAGGCACGAAAGCGUGGGGAGCAAACAGG
This 253-nucleotide ribosomal RNA is filed under the name uncultured bacterium. Its description in RNAcentral is "partial 16S ribosomal RNA". It matches the Rfam family "Bacterial small subunit ribosomal RNA", at positions 524 to 776 of the family's 1533-position model. The record is from RNAcentral.